Molecule: small RNA, 98 nt
Filed under: Arabidopsis thaliana (thale cress)
Lineage: Eukaryota; Viridiplantae; Streptophyta; Magnoliopsida; Brassicales; Brassicaceae
Description: ATSL242770
Source: RNAcentral
GAGAGAAAGAGAAAAACGUACGAGUAGGUUCCGACGACAGGAGCGACGAGGAGAAUAGUACUGAUCCAAUUCUCUGAGACCUUGUGGUGAAUCUUCUC